Oncorhynchus kisutch (coho salmon) is the source of this 109-nucleotide ribosomal RNA. Lineage: Eukaryota; Metazoa; Chordata; Actinopteri; Salmoniformes; Salmonidae. The record is from Ensembl.
GCUUACGACUACACCUGCCUGAGUACGUCUGAUCUCGGAAGCUAAGUAGGGUCGGGCCUGUUUAGUACUUGGAUGGGUGACCGCCUGGGAAUACCAGGUGCUGUAAGCU